This 145-nucleotide ribosomal RNA is filed under the name Strychnos usambarensis. Its description in RNAcentral is "5.8S ribosomal RNA". The stretch from base 14 to 142 matches the Rfam family "5.8S ribosomal RNA", at positions 28 to 154 of the family's 154-position model. Rfam says of the family: 5.8S ribosomal RNA (5.8S rRNA) is a component of the large subunit of the eukaryotic ribosome. It is transcribed by RNA polymerase I as part of the 45S precursor that also contains 18S and 28S rRNA. Functionally, it is thought that 5.8S rRNA may be involved in ribosome translocation. Lineage: Eukaryota; Viridiplantae; Streptophyta; Magnoliopsida; Gentianales; Loganiaceae. The record is from RNAcentral.
NAAACAACUCUCGUUGCAUCGAUGAAGAACGUAGCAAACUGCGAUACUUGGUGUGAAUUGCAGAAUCCCGUGAACCAUCGAGUCUUUGAACGCAAGUUGCGCCCGAAGCCAUUAGGCCGAGGGCACGUCUGCCUGGGCGUCACGC